RNAcentral lists this ribosomal RNA (274 nucleotides) under uncultured bacterium. Its description in RNAcentral is "partial 16S ribosomal RNA". It matches the Rfam family "Bacterial small subunit ribosomal RNA", at positions 523 to 796 of the family's 1533-position model. The record is from RNAcentral.
AUACGUAGGGUGCAAGCGUUAUUCGGAAUCACUGGGCGUAAAGGUCGCGUAGGCGGGUUUGUAAGUCAGGUGUGAAAUCCUACAGCUCAACUGUAGAACUGCACUUGAAACUACAGACCUAGAGUAUGGAAGGGGCAGAUGGAAUUAGUGGUGUAGGGGUAAAAUCCGUAGAUAUCACUAGGAAUACCGAAAGCGAAGGCGAUCUGCUGGGACAUUACUGACGCUGAGGCGUGAAAGCGUGGGGAGCAAACAGGAUUAGAAACCCCGGUAGUCC